AGACUGCUGAUGCUGCGCCGCUGCUGUCAAUCUUCUCCGACUCAGAUCCUUGAACGCAUCAAGCCGCUGCCACUUUAGAUUGCUACUUGUCUACUAACGGAAUAUCCUCAUCGUUUGAACAAUACAUCGCCAUGAACUUUGUUCAGGUUUUCCUAAUUAUUAUGGUUGUGAUGCUGGCGCUGGUGAGUGCAGCUCCCCAGCUCGUCACCACCAAGAGGAGGUUCCCUGGAGAGCGUCGGCUGGGGGCCACCAACUACGGUCUAUAUUCUUACGGCAAACGCGGAUUCAAAAAGAGUGCGGGCUAUGAUGGAUGAAACAGUGUCGAGGUCUGACCUGACAUGCCACAUGCAAGGCCUCAGCUGCCACAACUUCGCUGUGUGGUCGCAAAGCUACAUAAUUGAUGUGCAAAGUUCAGAGAAACCCUUUGUUAUUAAACACUUUAAUGUAAAGUUAUCUUUUACGGUAAGUUGUAAAAUGGAUGUGUAAAGUUCAGAAAAACCAUUUAUUAUUAAACAUUUCAAUGUGAAGUUAUCUUUUACGAUAAGCGGUAAAAUGGAUGUGUAAAGUUCAGAGAAACCCUUUGUUAUUAAACAUUUCUAUUGUAAAGUUAUCUUUUACGUUAAGCGGUAAAAUUGAUGUGUAAAGUUCAGAGAAACCCUUUGUUAUUAAACAUUUUAAUGUAAAGUUAUCUUUUACGGUAAGCGGUAAAUUGGAUAUGUAAAGUUCAGAAAAACCCUUUUUUAUUAAACAUUUUAAAUGUAAAGUUAUCUUUUACGAUAAGUGGUAAAAUGGAUGUGUAAAGUUGAGAGAAGAUCCUUUAUUAUUCUACAUUUAUAAUGUAAAGUUAUUUUUUACGAUAAGUGGUUUGCUUUGUUCGUGGUGAAUCAAGCUCAAUUCCAAUUGCAGUUUAUACUAUUUAAGUUCUGGUGAUCAUUUCGAGUAUUUGUAUAAAGAAUCCUAUGCAUAAGAAGUGUUAAGUUCUAUGCUUUUAGAUCCUCAAAAUCUAAUGUCUUCUUUUACUUCGAAUAUUCAAAUCAAAUCUAGAACUACACGACAGCAUCAAAUUUACAUGACUAUACUUUAUCAAAAUAUAUUGUCGGUUAUAGCCGUAAUUUAUAAGAUAGAGAACAAAUUUGGAACAUGACUAUGACCAUUUUUCGCCACGUCAUUAAUUAUUAAGUGCAAAGGUCUAUCAGUAGCAGCUAGAUCCGAUCUUUAAUAUUGAAUACGAGGUGUUAUCAAUAUCGUCAGCAAGUCGCUAGUCAGAUCUUAGUCAGAUAAGCUCGCAACAACACGCUAUACGAAUUCAUUCUUAAGUAUUUUCGCACGACCUAGUCCAUCAGAUGAUUCGGUAUAGGAGCUUCGUAAGGUUCCUUUGCAUCGCAUUAUAUCAAAGAUGAUUAUUUUGCUAGUUUUGUUAUACAUUACAGUUCUAUUUUAUGUGAAAUAAUGUCCCUUAUAUAACAAUGCCUGGUAUUAUAAGUUAGUUGCUAUUUUUUUCCAGAAACCUCCAGAAACUCUGAUAUAAAUAAGUUUUCUGUGUCGAAUCAUCUACGAUUCUUGUAUUAACUUUAUCCAAAGAAACCCGCGGAUUUUUAUAGAAGUCUAAGAAAAUUUCUACUUUAUUAUGUGCUUAAAACCUAAAAAGUUAUGUCCUAACCUCUACUUGUAAUUGAAUUAAGAUUCUCUUGAAAAAAUCAAUUCAAAAUUUUGCUGUUACUCCAGAUACAACAUUUCAGA
Hyalella azteca is the source of this 1740-nucleotide long non-coding RNA. RefSeq lists it as uncharacterized. Lineage: Eukaryota; Metazoa; Arthropoda; Malacostraca; Amphipoda; Hyalellidae. The record is from RefSeq and is a predicted model, not a curated record. The transcript has 4 exons.